AUUGAACGCUGGCGGCAGGCUUAACACAUGCAAGUCGAGCGGGGGAAGGUAGCUUGCUACCGGACCUAGCGGCGGACGGGUGAGUAAUGCUUAGGAAUCUGCCUAUUAGUGGGGGACAACAUCUCGAAAGGGAUGCUAAUACCGCAUACGUCCUAUGGGAGAAAGCAGGGGAUCUUCGGACCUUGCGCUAAUAGAUGAGCCUAAGUCGGAGAGCUAGCUGGUGGGGUAAAGGCCUACCAAGGCGACGAUCUGUAGCGGGGCUGAGAGGAUGAUCCGCCACACUGGGACUGAGACACGGCCCAGACUCCUACGGGAGGCAGCAGUGGGGAAUAUUGGACAAUGGGGGGAACCCUGAUCCAGCCAUGCCGCGUGUGUGAAGAAGGCCUUAUGGUUGUAAAGCACUUUAAGCGAGGAGGAGGCUACUUUAGUUAAUACCUAGAGAUAGUGGACGUUACUCGCAGAAUAAGCACCGGCUAACUCUGUGCCAGCCGCCGCCGUAA
Molecule: ribosomal RNA, 500 nt
Filed under: uncultured bacterium
Lineage: Bacteria
Description: partial 16S ribosomal RNA
Rfam family: Bacterial small subunit ribosomal RNA
Source: RNAcentral